AAGCAUAGUUUCAAGGGCUAUAAAGCAGCAGGGUCUGAAGAAUCAGGGAUUCCAGAUUUUAAAGCUGUAGCAUCUUAGAUUUUAGAACAGAUUGACAGUAAGUUCCCUUAUUUUCAUUUGCUUAAACACGUGGGAAUUAAACUGAUAUAAAGCUGCUGCAGGUAUAAUUUAGGCCACAAGGUUAAUGUUUAUUCUGAUUCUGAGGCCACAGGAGUCUGCUUUUCCAGAACAGGCAAUCAUAUCCUUCCCUCACCUCCACGAUGUCCUGAGAUGCAGGAGCCACUCCUGUGCUCCUCCUGCUCUGUAUCAGGGUAUUUCUGUGACACUCAGCAUCAACAGCCUGAACGUAUGUGAUCAUUCCAGCUUUCUGGGUGAUUGCAUCAGCUUGAGUGCUGGAAAUGAUGGAAUAUGCCUGCUGGGGACCGAGGACUCGGGAGACUGAAGCCAGCUCCUGUCACACCCUGAAGGACAUUCCCCCAUGUCUUGGAGAAUAGCUGAGUUCUUGCUACAUUUCAGCAUUGGGAAGUUCAUGCACAAACACAUCUGCAAGUAGUUUAUUUCUUCGCACUGCCAGUUGGCACUGCUCUCAUUAGAUCCCCUGCAUUGCAUUUUGCUAUUUGUUACCUAAACAGCUGCAGACUCUUGCUCCAAGGCCUCAGAAGAGAGAGCCCUUUUUGUCUAGCAAAUAACAUUAAUAAAGGUUGGAUCUACGGUAGCA
RNAcentral lists this long non-coding RNA (718 nucleotides) under Anas platyrhynchos platyrhynchos (common mallard). Its description in RNAcentral is "lncRNA (ENSAPLG00000028182.1)". The record is from RNAcentral. Lineage: Eukaryota; Metazoa; Chordata; Aves; Anseriformes; Anatidae.